CCGCGAUGGAGGCAAAAAAAAAAAAAAAAAAAAAAAAAAAAAAAACAAGUAACAC
RNAcentral lists this non-coding RNA (55 nucleotides) under Prorocentrum micans. The record is from RNAcentral. Lineage: Eukaryota; Dinophyceae; Prorocentrales; Prorocentraceae.